UCCCAAGUGGUUCAGUGAUAAAGCAUCUGCCUGUGAUGCAGGAGACGUGGGUUCGAUCCCUGGCUUGGGAA
RNAcentral lists this transfer RNA (71 nucleotides) under Bos taurus (domestic cattle). It matches the Rfam family "tRNA". From Rfam's summary of the family: Transfer RNA (tRNA) molecules are approximately 80 nucleotides in length. Their secondary structure includes four short double-helical elements and three loops (D, anti-codon, and T loops). RNAcentral also lists the same sequence under 3 other names. Lineage: Eukaryota; Metazoa; Chordata; Mammalia; Artiodactyla; Bovidae. The record is from Rfam by way of RNAcentral.